This 207-nucleotide ribosomal RNA is filed under the name uncultured bacterium. Its description in RNAcentral is "partial 16S ribosomal RNA". It matches the Rfam family "Bacterial small subunit ribosomal RNA", at positions 568 to 774 of the family's 1533-position model. The record is from RNAcentral.
AGCGUAGGCGGAUGAUUAAGUGGGAUGUGAAAUACCCGGGCUCAACUUGGGUGCUGCAUUCCAAACUGGUUAUCUAGAGUGCAGGAGAGGAGAGUGGAAUUCCUAGUGUAGCGGUGAAAUGCGUAGAGAUUAGGAAGAACACCAGUGGCGAAGGCGACUCUCUGGACUGUAACUGACGCUGAGGCUGAAAGCGUGGGGGAGCAAACA